GGUGUGUGAGUGGGGAAUGAAAGAUUCCUUUGCAGGAAUAUAGAAGGCCAAGAGAGGGGGAGAAGAAAGAAGAAAGCAGAGAAUGGGUUAACUCAGCACUGCAGCUAGCAAGCUCAGUCCGAAAAUGAGACGCUGGCCCCCACCCAAGGACACUGCUCACAGCAGAGACUUGGCUGACAGCCAAAAAAGAUAGGGGCUUGAAUGUGCCCGAGCGGCCGUGGAAAAAAGAACUAAGUGAGACUCAGAGCUGCAAAAAUAACAGCGAGACUAGUGAAGGCUAAAACAAAAAAGAAAACAGUCUCCGGAGCCGGGAUGUUUUGGGAAAGGGAAAGAGACCACAGAAAGCGGUUUGAACUGGCACAAGGAGCACCAGGAACAGAGGUCGCAGAAUGAAACACCCCCAAAGGAGUCCAGGACUUAAAACCUUCCUAAGAGCUGGAGCAAUUCAGAGAUUACAGCGGAUCCCCCGGAUGACCUGGGCCCAGGGCAAGAACUCCUGUCCACCCCUUCCCCUCUUCUUCUUACGUUACACCCAGGCCUGGCCAGCUUUAGGUAGUGCAUGUCGCACACCCGAGAGCAACUUUUCAUAUUCCAGACAGAUGCCUCCUCCUUCAUGGUGUUAAAACACACAUUUAACCUGGAGAGAAAUGCCUUUGCCACAGCUGUCCUGAUGGGCCAUCUAUGUCAA
Non-coding RNA from Chrysemys picta bellii (western painted turtle), 688 nucleotides. The record is from RefSeq and is a predicted model, not a curated record. NCBI's taxonomy places the organism in Eukaryota, Metazoa, Chordata, Testudines, Emydidae.